Pongo pygmaeus (Bornean orangutan) is the source of this 3907-nucleotide long non-coding RNA. RefSeq lists it as uncharacterized. The record is from RefSeq and is a predicted model, not a curated record. NCBI's taxonomy places the organism in Eukaryota, Metazoa, Chordata, Mammalia, Primates, Hominidae. The transcript has 2 exons.
AACCCGGCGGGGCGGGGCCGCGGCGCUCCAGGGGCGGGGCCUGGCCCUCGGGGGCGGGGCCGGGCGGGGCGAGCGCUUCAGGCCUCCUCCCGACCCUGUGCCGUGCCCAGCCCCUCUGCCCUCCCAUUACCCCCGGACCUCGGGCCGCCAGCCCCUUCCACGUCCAGGCUCCUACUGCUCUCGCGGGAGCUUUUCGUAUGUCCCCCGAGAUGUCGAGGAAGCCAGGUGAGUUUCUCGCGACAGGCGGUGCCCUUUGCAGGAGGGGACAGGUAGCUGAGGCGUGGACAGAGUGACAGGCCAGGCUCAGGGGACACAGGUGAGACCCCCUCACUGGGCUGCCAGUUCCCGGGCUUGGGGCAUCCCAGGACGUCAGCGUCUGCGGCCUUACCUCCUGACACCUAAGGCCAGAGACAGAGCAGACCCGCGCCCUGGGAGGUCCUGAUGUCCAGCCUGAAGGUUGAGGGCAAAGCCACCACCUUUCACAAAACGAGGCCAGACCAUCUGCCUCCCUCCAGUCCCUGAGGCCUGGAGACCGAGUCAACAUUCUUAUCUGUGUUGGAUCUGAAUGUUCCUCCUUGCAAAAGAAAACAAGGAGUGGACGUUCAGGCUGAUGGCCAGCUUCAAAGACUGGGGCCUUUGAUUCCCAUCACUGGGAAGAAGGCCCUUUAGAGAAGCCCCCCAGGCUGCAGGUGCAUGGGGACCUUGAAGAACCCGUCUCCACGGUCCCACGUCCAUGUGUCUCGAGACCUGUCGCAUCCUCGCUGAAACUCAAGAACGUGAAACAGGUGAAGAGUCCAGCUCUCCCACGGGUGGCUGUGAUCCUUCUUCCUGGGGAGUCCUGCUGUCCCUGACCAGGGGUACCUGCCCACCUGUCAGCUGUUCCUCCCUCGGCUGGUCCUCCUGGGCUCUGAUGGCCCCAACAUUUCUAGCUCUUCUCACCCAUAGUGCCCCAAGCUUCAUGCAGCUGCAGCAGGUACUAUGCCCAUCUGCCUGGCUGUUGUGUGUUUGUGUCUCGACUCUAUAACCCGUGCACACGGACAGGGCUGUGGUGUAGUGGGGAUGGCAGGAGCCCUGGGAACGUGCGGGCUGGGCAAGGUGAGACAGGCUGAUUGCUGUGGCUCCCCAACCACCAGCCCCAGCCACAACAAACUGACAAAGAGGACAGUGGUGCCCUGGAGCCCUGGGGUCAGAGAGAGGAGGACAAAGCAGGUGUGUAGCCCAGAGAAUGAUACCACCCCUUCUGAGAAGACAGGGAGGGUGCAGACAUGGCAUGAACAGGACAUCCUGCAGCCAGAGCCAGGUUCUGAGCUAGAAAACUGUCAGCAGGGGGCUGAAGCUGAGGAUAGUCAUUGCCAAGGAACAGCCUCCAUCACAGAGAAGACGCUUGCACAGAUGCGGUGACGAGGGAGGGAUGAGGGGCUGGUGACCGCUGGGAACAGGUGUGUGAGGCAGAGUCUCCAGGCAUGGUCUGUGGGGUGGUUUGAUGAUACUAGGACAUCUCUCAGAGUAGAAGGACGUCCCAACCUGCAGACUGGAAAGCCCCCUGAGCCCCCGGCAGGAUGUAUGAGGGCCAGCCCACACCCGGGUCCGUCCUGAUACAACUCCUGAACGCCACAGUGUCUUAGCUCCUUUACUGUUGCUAUCAAGAAAUACCUGAGGCUGGGCAAUUUAUGAAGAAUCAUGAUGUAAUUUGUAUAUUUGUCCCCACUAAACCCCCAAGGUUGGAGGUGGCUGGGCCAUAGGGGUGGAUUUCUCAGGAAUGUUUAGCACCAUCCCCUUGGUGCUGUCCUUGAGAUAGUGAGUUCUCCUGAGAUCUGGUUAUUUAAAAGUGUGGGGCACCUCUCUCUCUCGCUCACUCGCUUGCUCGCUCCUGCCCUGGCCAUGUCACGUGCCUGCUCCCCCAUUGCCUUUCACCAUGAUCGGAAGCUUCCAGAGGCCUCCCCAGAAGCUGAGCAGAGGCCAGCACCAUGCCUCCUGUAAAGCCUGCAGAACCAGGUGCCAAGUAAACCUCUUUUCAUUAUUUAUUUAUUUAUUUAUUUAUUUAUUUUGACACAGGGUCUCGCUCUGUUGCCCAGGCUGGAGUGCAGUGGCGUGAUCUCGGCUCACUGCAACCUCUGCCUCCUGGGCUCAGGUGAUCCUCUCACCUGACCCUCCUGAGUAGCUGGGACUACAGGCACAUGCCACCAUGCCUGGCUAAUUUUUCAUAUUUUUUGUAGACAUGGGGUCUUACUGUUGCCCAGACUGGUCUCAAACCCCUGAGCUCAAGUGAUCCAUCCACCUUGGCCUUCCGGAGUGCUGGGAUCACAGGCAUGAGCUACCGUGCCUGGCCCUCUUUUCUUUUAAAAUUGCCCAGUCCUAAGUAUUUCUUUAUAGCAAGGCAACCACAGCCUAACACAGCUUAUGAUGCUGAGGUCUUGAAAGUUCAAGAUCAGGCGUCUGCCUCGGGUGAGGGCCUUGCUGCCGCUGCCUCCACUCAUGGCAGAAGGUGAAGGGGAGCUGGAGUAUGUGGAGAUGGUGUGCGAGAGGGAGCCGGAGUGUGUGGAGACGGUGUGCGAGAGGGAGCCGGAGUGUGUGGAGACGGUGUGCGAGAGGGAGCCGGAGUGUGUGGAGACGGUGUGCGAGAGGGAGCCGGAGUGUGUGGAGACGGUGUACGAGAGGGAGCUGGAGGAGUAGGGAAGUACAGGCCUUUUUUUUUUUUUUUUUUAAGAUGGAGUCUCGCUCUGUUGCCCAGGCUGGAGCACAAUGGCGCAAUGCCGGCUCACUGCAACCUCCGCCUCCCGAGUUCAAGCGAUUCUCCUGCGUCAGCCUCCUGAGUAGCUGGGAUUAGAGGCAUGCGCCACUAUUCCCGGCUAAUUUUUGUAUUUUUGUAGAGACAGGGUUUCACCAUGUUGGUCAGGCUGAUCUCAAACUUCUGACCUCGUGAUCCGCCCGCAUUGGCCUCCCAAAGUGCUGAGAUUACAGGCGUGAGGCACCGCGCCUGGCCGUGCAGGCAUUUUUAAAAGCACCUCUUGCUGGAACUAGUAAGAGUGAAAACUCACUCAUUACCAAGAGGACAGCACCAAACCAUUCGUGAGGAAUCCGCCCCCAUGACCCAGACACCUCCAACAGUGGGGCUCAGAUUUCAACCUGAGGUUUGAAGGGGACCAACACCCAAACUAUAGCAACAGGGAAAGAGAAAAGUUUACGGAUACCCAUUUAGAAAGAAUCUGCUAACAAAGGGAAAGAAUCAGGCUGGGCGCGGUGGCUCACGCCUGGAAUCCCAGCGCUUUGGGAGGCCAAGGUGAGUGGAUCACCUGAGGUCAGGAGUUUGAGACCAGCCUGGCCAACAUGUGAAACCCUGUCUCUACUAAAAAUGCAAACAUUAGCCAGGCGUAGUGACGUGCACCUGUAGUCCCAGCUAUGCAGGAGGCCAGGCAAGAGAACUGCUGGAAUUCGUGAGGCAGAGGUUGCAGUGAGCCGAGAUCCUGCCACUGCACUCCAGCCCAGGCAACAAGAUCAAGACUCUGUCUCAAAAACAAACAAACAACAACAAAAGGAAAGAAUCAGACUGGCUUGGGGCUCUGCUGUCACCUGCCCGUGACCUCCCAAAAGCGUGUGUUAGAGACUGACCUGCCUAGUGCGUCAGUGGAGGGGGCACUUUGGAGAGGGGCUUGGAUCGUGAGGCCCCGCCCUCGUGAAUGGCUCAGUACCUUGUGAAAGGGCCUGAUGGAGGGAGUUUGGUCCCUUUUCCCCUUUUGUCUCUCUGCCAUGUGAGGACACCACGUUCCUCCCCUCUGGAGGACACAGUAACAAGCUGUCAUCUCGGGAGGAGACACUGGGCCCUGACCAGACGCUGAACCUGCCAGCACCUUCAUCUUGGACUUUCCAGCCCCCAGAACUGUGAGAAAUAAAUUUCUGUUCUUUAUAA